Panthera uncia (snow leopard) is the source of this 1171-nucleotide long non-coding RNA. RefSeq lists it as uncharacterized. Lineage: Eukaryota; Metazoa; Chordata; Mammalia; Carnivora; Felidae. The transcript is spliced from 2 exons. The record is from RefSeq and is a predicted model, not a curated record.
CUGCAGCUCGCCCGCCUCACUUCGCGUGAGACCCGGAGGACCGGCCGCGAAGGAGUGACCCGCCGACCUCGGCGCCAGCGACAUCCAGAACGCCUUUCAGCGCCACACCCCGCCCGGGUGUCCGCAAGCAGUGGGCGGGCACCGGCGCCCCGAGGGCUGGCCCUCGCCCGGCUCCGCGCGCUCCAGCCUCCGCCCUCUGCCUGAGGUCAACUUCGUCGGGCUGGAGCGAGCCCCGGGAGGCUCUCGGUGCGGAGGACGGGGUGGCCCCGAGGGACGACUCGGGGAACCGCGGGGAGCGCCUGGCCUCGGCGGGGCUCGGGAGCGAAGCCCCACGGGGAGCGGGGCGGCGUGGAACGUUAGGGCGCGGCCUACCUCCCAGAGGCCCUCAGCGGCCUACAGCACCCCCCGGGGCGAAGAGAGCGACCCAUAGGCCUCUAACGUUGAGCGCUAACCAUCCUCAGGCCCCCUGGCCCUGGGCUCCUUCAGCACUCAACAGGCUGGUGGGGGCACCUCGCCAGAGCUGAGCUGCUGCUCGGUCCCCGGGGAGCCUCUGGGGGGUGUAUUUAGAACCGAGGGUCCCUGGAGGGACUUGGGUUCAGCACGCGCGUCUAUGCAGGAGCAUUUAGCUGAUGGUACCUGAGAUGCCGACCCUCCGGUUCUGCCCGCUCUGGGAGGGAAACCCCGGGGCCUCAGCUCAAGGCUCAGCCUUUUGGGAAAGGGCACUCCGAGAGUUAUUCCGGCAUUUGCUCCGGGACAAAGAUAACCCAGAAAGUAUCUCGGUUGCAGGAGGCCGGCCUCAGCCCGGCGCAGGGUGUCCGCGAGAUGCCGGGGUGUGCGCCAGUCUGGAGACAGGCCUGGCCAGCCCUGCAUCCAGGAUCGGGUCGCGGGGCCUGGGUGAGCCGGGACAAGGUCGCCAGGCUCCUCACGACAGCACCGAGCUUCCCCAGACAGGGUGGCCGCCAGGGUGCGGCAGGCCUGGAGCCGGCGGGAAGCGGAGGCCUUGGAAAGUAGUCGACGCUUAAACUGUCUGAAUAAUUUGCAUGGGGCGGCUAUUCAUUAUUUCCGAUGAUUUUCCUUCGCAAGCAGCUCGGACGUGGCCGGCUGUGGUUCAGAGCGAUCGGAGAGCUCGUAUUUUCAUCUGUAAAUUAAAGCAAUUACGCAGCAGAUAUUA